RNAcentral lists this ribosomal RNA (370 nucleotides) under uncultured eukaryote. RNAcentral describes it as "partial 18S ribosomal RNA". It matches the Rfam family "Eukaryotic small subunit ribosomal RNA", at positions 592 to 976 of the family's 1831-position model. The record is from RNAcentral.
CAAUAGCGUAUAUUAAAGGUGUUGCAGUUAAAAAGCUCGUAGUUGGAUUUCUGGUCGGAAGCUCCUGUCCUCUGAUGAGCGUACAAGUGCGUCCUACCAUCCUUCUGUUAACCUUUAAGGCUUUCGCGGCUUUCUAGGGGCUCAGAUAUUUUACCUUGAGAAAAUUAGAGUGUUUCAGGCAGGCUAGCGCCGGAAUACAUUAGCAUGGAAUAAUGGAAUAGGACUUUUGCCUCUUCUGUUGGUCAUGAGGCUCGAGUAAUGAUUAAUAGGGAUAGUUGGGGGCAUUAGUACUUAACUGUCAGAGGUGAAAUUCUCGGAUUUGUUAAAGACUAACUUAUGCGAAAGCAUUUGCCAAGGAUGUUUUCAUUAA